This 929-nucleotide ribosomal RNA is filed under the name Piloderma sphaerosporum. RNAcentral's name for it is "eukaryotic LSU rRNA". The stretch from base 702 to 929 matches the Rfam family "Eukaryotic large subunit ribosomal RNA", at positions 1 to 224 of the family's 3401-position model. Lineage: Eukaryota; Fungi; Basidiomycota; Agaricomycetes; Atheliales; Atheliaceae. The record is from RNAcentral.
GAUUGAAUGGGCUUAGUGAGGUCUCCGGAUUGGCUUUGGGGAGCCGGCGACGGCACCCUAUCGCUGAGAAGCUGAUCAAACUUGGUCAUUUAGAGGAAGUAAAAGUCGUAACAAGGUUUCCGUAGGUGAACCUGCGGAAGGAUCAUUAUCGAAAUUAUUGGUGAGGGUUGUAGCUGGCCUUUCGAGGCAUGUGCACGCUCGAGCCCUUAAUCCACUUUACACCUGUGCACUUAAUGUAGGUCGCCCUUAAAAAAGGUGACCUACGUCUUAUCAUCAACCCAUCGUAUGUCUCAUAGAAUGUAAUCGAUAUCCUCGCCCUAAAAAAGCGUUGAUAAACUUAUACAACUUUCAACAACGGAUCUCUUGGCUCUCGCAUCGAUGAAGAACGCAGCGAAAUGCGAUAAGUAAUGUGAAUUGCAGAUUUUCAGUGAAUCAUCGAAUCUUUGAACGCACCUUGCGCUCCUUGGUAUUCCGAGGAGCAUGCCUGUUUGAGUGUCAUUAAAUUCUCAACUCCAAGGGUUUCACGACCUUUCGGAGAUUGGACUUGGAGGUGCUGGCCGCAUAUUGGUCGGCUCCUCUCAAAUGCAUCAGCGGAAUUCAACCUUUGGCUUCCGGAUGUCAGUGUGAUAAUCAUGUUGCGCUGUCGUUUGAUCCCUCAGAGUCCGCUUAUAAUGGUCUUCGGACAAAAUCAUCAUCAAAUUUGACCUCAAAUCAGGUAGGACUACCCGCUGAACUUAAGCAUAUCAAUAAGCGGAGGAAAAGAAACUAACAAGGAUUCCCCUAGUAACUGCGAGUGAAGCGGGAAAAGCUCAAAUUUAAAAUCUGGCGGUCUUGCGGCCGUCCGAGUUGUAAUCUGGAGAAGCGUCUAUCCGCGUCGGACCGUGUACAAGUCUUCUGGAAGGGAGCGUCAUAGAGGGUGAGAAUCCCGU